UAGAACAGUUCUGUAUCCUGAUUGUG
RNAcentral lists this non-coding RNA (26 nucleotides) under Homo sapiens (human). The record is from RNAcentral. Lineage: Eukaryota; Metazoa; Chordata; Mammalia; Primates; Hominidae.